AAACUUUCAACAAUGGAUCUCUUGGUUCCCGCAUCGAUGAAGAACGCAGCGAAAUGCGAUAACUAAUGUGAAUUGCAGAAUUCCGUGAAUCAUCGAGUCCUUGAACGCACAUUGCGCCCCCUGGUAUUCCGGGGGGCAUGCCUGUCCGAGCGUCAUUGCACCCCUCAAGCGCAGCU
Molecule: ribosomal RNA, 176 nt
Filed under: Nannizziopsis guarroi
Lineage: Eukaryota; Fungi; Ascomycota; Eurotiomycetes; Onygenales; Nannizziopsiaceae
Description: 5.8S ribosomal RNA
Rfam family: 5.8S ribosomal RNA (bases 2-155)
About the family: 5.8S ribosomal RNA (5.8S rRNA) is a component of the large subunit of the eukaryotic ribosome. It is transcribed by RNA polymerase I as part of the 45S precursor that also contains 18S and 28S rRNA. Functionally, it is thought that 5.8S rRNA may be involved in ribosome translocation.
Source: RNAcentral